CCUACGGGAGGCAGCAGUGGGGGAUAUUGCACAAUGGGGGAAACCCUGAUGCAGCGACGCCGCGUGAGUGAAGAAGUAUUUCGGUAUGUAAAGCUCUAUCAGCAGGGAAGAAAAUGACAGUAACUGAAAAAGAAGCCCCGGCUAACUAAGUGCCAGCAGCCGCGGGAAUACGUAGGGGGCAAGCGUUAGCCGGAAUUACUGGGUGUAAAGGGAGCGGAGGCGGGUAUGUAAGUCUGGAGUGAAAGCCACGGGCUCAACCCCGGGACUGCAUUGGAAACUGUGUAACUUGAGUACAGGAGGGGUAGGCGGAAUUCCUGGUGUAGCGGUGAAAUGCGUAGAUAUCAGGAGGAACACCGGCGGCGAAGGCGGCCUGCUGGACUGAAACUGACGUUGAGGCUCGAAAGCGUGGGGAGCAAACAGGAUUAGAUACCCCAGUAGUC
RNAcentral lists this ribosomal RNA (440 nucleotides) under uncultured bacterium. RNAcentral's name for it is "partial 16S ribosomal RNA". It matches the Rfam family "Bacterial small subunit ribosomal RNA", at positions 338 to 795 of the family's 1533-position model. The record is from RNAcentral.